AACCUUAUGGACCUGCGGGCGUAUACCUGCGGAAGGAUCAUUACAAAAAAGACCCAAGGGGUUUUUGGGUUUCGGCCCAAGAAUACCCAACCCACCUCUUGUGCACUGUUCACGUUCGCUUUGGCAGUUGCUUUGGCUUCUCUGGAAGUCAACUUCUCGCUGGCUCUAUCCUUUUUGGACAGCUGGUGGUGAAGCGGCCUGCCAAGGCUUUUUUUCGAAAUAACGCUUUUAGAAUCUACU
This 240-nucleotide unclassified non-coding RNA is filed under the name soil metagenome. RNAcentral's name for it is "partial contains 5.8S ribosomal RNA, internal transcribed spacer 2, and large subunit ribosomal RNA". The record is from RNAcentral.